CCUACGGGAGGCAGCAGUGAGGAAUAUUGGUCAAUGGACGAGAGUCUGAACCAGCCAAGUAGCGUGAAGGAUGACUGCCCUAUGGGUUGUAAACUUCUUUUAUAUGGGAAUAAAAUGUUCCACGUGUGGGAUUUUGUAUGUACCAUAUGAAUAAGGAUCGGCUAACUCCGUGCCAGCAGCCGCGGUAAUACGGAGGAUCCGAGCGUUAUCCGGAUUUAUUGGGUUUAAAGGGAGCGUAGGUGGAUUGUUAAGUCAGUUGUGAAAGUUGGCGGCUCAACCGUAAAAUUGCAGUUGAAACUGGCAGUCUUGAGUACAGUAGAGGUGGGCGGAAUUCGUGGUGUAGCGGUGAAAUGCUUAGAUAUCACGAAGAACUCCGAUUGCGAAGGCAGUUCACUGGACUGCAACUGACGCUGAGGCUCGAAAGUGUGGGUAUCAAACAGGAUUAGAUACCCUUGUAGUC
Molecule: ribosomal RNA, 460 nt
Filed under: uncultured bacterium
Lineage: Bacteria
Description: partial 16S ribosomal RNA
Rfam family: Bacterial small subunit ribosomal RNA
Source: RNAcentral